ACGAACGCUGGCGGCGCGCCUAACACAUGCAAGUCGCACGGAGUCAAGAGGAGCUUGCUUUUCUUGACUUAGUGGCGAACGGGUGAGUAACGCGUGAGUAACCUGCCCUGGAGUGGGGGACAACAGUUGGAAACGACUGCUAAUACCGCAUAAGCCCACGGAUCCGCAUGGAUCUGCGGGAAAAGGAUUUAUUCGCUUCAGGAUGGACUCGCGUCCAAUUAGCUAGUUGGUGAGGUAACGGCCCACCAAGGCGACGAUUGGUAGCCGGACUGAGAGGUUGAACGGCCACAUUGGGACUGAGACACGGCCCAGACUCCUACGGGAGGCAGCAGUGGGGGAUAUUGCACAAUGGGGGAAACCCUGAUGCAGCGACGCCGCGUGGAGGAAGAAGGUUUUCGGAUUGUAAACUCCUGUCGUUAGGGACGAUAAUGACGGUACCUAACAAGAAAGCACCGGCUAACUACGUG
Molecule: ribosomal RNA, 467 nt
Filed under: uncultured bacterium
Lineage: Bacteria
Description: partial 16S ribosomal RNA
Rfam family: Bacterial small subunit ribosomal RNA
Source: RNAcentral